This 497-nucleotide ribosomal RNA is filed under the name uncultured bacterium. Its description in RNAcentral is "partial 16S ribosomal RNA". It matches the Rfam family "Bacterial small subunit ribosomal RNA", at positions 28 to 507 of the family's 1533-position model. The record is from RNAcentral.
GAUGAACGCUGGCGGCGUGCCUAAUACAUGCAAGUCGAGCGAACGGACGAGAAGCUUGCUUCUCUGAUGUUAGCGGCGGACGGGUGAGUAACACGUGGAUAACCUACCUAUAAGACUGGGAUAACUUCGGGAAACCGGAGCUACUACCGGAUGAUAUUUUGAACCGCAUGGUUCAAAAGUGAAAGACGGUCUUGCUUUCACUUAUAGAUUGAUCCGCGCUGCAUUAGCUAGUUGGUAAGGUAACGGCUUACCAAGGCAACGAUGCAUAGCCGACCUGAGAGGGUGGACGGCCACACUGGAGCUGAGACACGGUCCAGACUCCGACGGGAGGCAGCAGUAGGGAAUCUUCCGCAAUGGGCGAAAGCCUGACGGAGCAACGCCGCGUGAGUGAUGAAGGUCUUCGGAUCGUAAAACUCUGUUAUUAGGGAAGAACAUAUGUGUAAGUAACUGUGCACAUCUUGACGGUACCUAAUCAGAAAGCCACGGCUAACUACGUG